RNAcentral lists this ribosomal RNA (459 nucleotides) under uncultured bacterium. Its description in RNAcentral is "partial 16S ribosomal RNA". It matches the Rfam family "Bacterial small subunit ribosomal RNA", at positions 338 to 795 of the family's 1533-position model. The record is from RNAcentral.
CCUACGGGGGGCAGCAGUGAGGAAUAUUGGUCAAUGGCCGAGAGGCUGAACCAGCCAAGUCGCGUGAGGGAAGAAGGCCCGACGGGGUGUAAACCUCUGUUGUAGGGGAGCAAAGCGAACCACGUGGGGGUCAGUGAGAGUACCCGAAGAAAAAGAAGCGGCUAACUCCGUGCCAGCAGCCGCGGUAAUACGGAGGAUGCGAGCGUUAUCCGGAUUUAUUGGGUUUAAAGGGUGCGCCGGCGGAGGUGCAAGUCAGCGGUCAAAUUGCGGGGCUCAACCCCGUACUGCCGUUGAAACUUCAGCCCUGGAGUGCGCGAGACAUAUGCGGAAUGCGUGGUGUAGCGGUGAAAUGCUUAGAUAUCACGAAGAACUCCGAUUGCGAAGGCAGUUCACUGGACUGCACCUGACACUGAUGCUCGACAGUGUGGGUAUCAAACAGGAUUAGAUACCCGAGUAGUC